GACGAACGCUGGCGGCGUGCUUAACACAUGCAAGUCGAACGGUGAAGCUCCAGCUUGCUGGAGUGGAUCAGUGGCGAACGGGUGAGUAACACGUGAGCAACCUGCCCCUGACUCUGGAAUAAGCGCUGGAAACGGCGUCUAAUACUGGAUACGAGAAGGGUCCGCAUGGGCACUUUCUGGAAAGUUUUUCGGUUGGGGAUGGGCUCGCGGCCUAUCAGCUUGUUGGUGAGGUAAUGGCUCACCAAGGCGACGACGGGUAGCCGGCCUGAGAGGGCGACCGGCCACACUGGGACUGAGACACGGCCCAGACUCCUACGGGAGGCAGCAGUGGGGAAUAUUGCACAAUGGGCGGAAGCCUGAUGCAGCGACGCCGCGUGCGGGAUGACGGCCUUCGGGUUGUAAACCUCUUUCAGCAGGGAAGAAGCGAAAGUGACGGUACCUGCAGAAGAAGCACCGGCUAACUACGUG
This 468-nucleotide ribosomal RNA is filed under the name uncultured bacterium. Its description in RNAcentral is "partial 16S ribosomal RNA". It matches the Rfam family "Bacterial small subunit ribosomal RNA", at positions 28 to 507 of the family's 1533-position model. The record is from RNAcentral.